AAGCGCGCGCAGGCGGCUUGUUAAGUCUGGUGUGAAAUCCCGAGGCUCAACUUUCGGUCUGCCUUUGAUCCUGACAGCUUUGAUUCCAUUUAAGAUAGUGGAAUUCCACCUGGUACCGUUAAAUUGCUUAAAUUUGUCUAUAAACCUCCGAUUGCAAAGGCAGCUUAUUGAGCUGGUCUUGACCCUAAUGCCCGAAAGCGUGGGGAUCGAACAGGAUUAAAUACCCUGGUAUUCCACGCCCUAAACGAUGAUGACUCGAUGUUGGCGAUUCACCGCCCUCGUCGUAGCGAAUGCGUUAAUUUAUCCUCCUGCGGAGUACGCCCGCAAGGGUGAAACUCAUAGGAAUUGACGGGGGCCCGCCCAACCAGAGGAGCAUGUGGUUUAUUUCUAUGAUACGCGAGGAACCUUACCCGGGCUUGAUAGUUACUGAAUGAUGCAGAGACACAUCCGUCCUUCGGUACACGAAACUAAGUGCUGCAUGGCUGUCGUCUGCUCGUGCCGUGAGGUGUUGGGUUAAGUCCCGCAACGAGCGCAACCCCUAUGUUUAGUUGCCAUCAUGUCAUGGUGGGGACUCUA
Molecule: ribosomal RNA, 576 nt
Filed under: Sphingobacterium multivorum
Lineage: Bacteria; Pseudomonadati; Bacteroidota; Sphingobacteriia; Sphingobacteriales; Sphingobacteriaceae
Description: bacterial SSU rRNA
Rfam family: Bacterial small subunit ribosomal RNA
Source: RNAcentral